This 1348-nucleotide ribosomal RNA is filed under the name uncultured bacterium. RNAcentral describes it as "bacterial SSU rRNA". It matches the Rfam family "Bacterial small subunit ribosomal RNA", at positions 28 to 1381 of the family's 1533-position model. The record is from RNAcentral.
GACGAACUCUGGCGGCGUGCUUAACACAUGCAAGUCGAACGGAAAGGCCCUGCUUUUGUGGGGUGCUCGAGUGGCGAACGGGUGAGUAACACGUGAGUAACCUGCCCUUGACUUUGGGAUAACUUCAGGAAACUGGGGCUAAUACCGGAUAGGAGCUCCUGCUGCGGGGUGGGGGUUGGAAAGUUUCGGCGGUUGGGGAUGGACUCGCGGCUUAUCAGCUUGUUGGUGGGGUAGUGGCUUACCAAGGCUUUGACGGGUAGCCGGCCUGAGAGGGUGACCGGCCACAUUGGGACUGAGAUACGGCCCAGACUCCUACGGGAGGCAGCAGUGGGGAAUAUUGCACAAUGGGCGGAAGCCUGAUGCAGCAACGCCGCGUGCGGGAUGACGGCGCUGGGGGGUGUAAACCGCUUUCGCCUGUGACGAAGCGUGAGUGACGGUAAUGGGUAAAGAAAGCACCGGCUAACUACCUGCCAGCAGCCGCGGUGAUACGUAAGGGGGCGAGCGUUGUCCGGAAUUAUUGGGCGUAAAGGGCUCGUAGGUGGUUGAUCGCGUCGGAAGUGAAUCUUGGGGCUUAACCCUGAGCGUGCUUUCGAUACGGGUUGACUUGAGGAAGGUAGGGGAGAAUGGAAUUCCUGGUGGAGCGGUGGAAUGCGCAGAUAUCAGGAGGAACACCAGUGGCGAAGGCGGUUCUCUGGGCCUUUCCUGACGCUGAGGAGCGAAAGCGUGGGGAGCGAACAGGCUUAGAUACCCUGGUAGUCCACGCUGUAAACGGUGGGUACUAGGUGUGGGGUCCAUUCCACGGGUUCCGUGCCGUAGCUAACGCUUUAAGUACCCCGCCUGGGGAGUACGGCCGCAAGGCUAAAACUCAAAGGAAUUGACGGGGCCCCGCACAAGCGGCGGAGCAUGCGGAUUAAUUCGAUGCAACGCGUAGAACCUUACCUGGGUUUGACAUGGAUCGGGAGUGCUCAGAGAUGGGUGUGCCUCUUUUGGGGUCGGUUCACAGGUGGUGCAUGGCUGUCGUCAGCUCGUGUCGUGAGAUGUUGGGUUAAGUCCCGCAACGAGCGCAACCCUUGUUCACUGUUGCCAGCACGUUAUGGUGGGGACUCAGUGGAGACCGCCGGGGUCAACUCGGAGGAAGGUGGGGAUGACGUCAAGUCAUCAUGCCCCUUAUGUCCAGGGCUUCACGCAUGCUACAAUGGCUGGUACAGAGAGUGGCGAGCCUGUGAGGGUGAGCGAAUCUCGGAAAGCCGGUCUCAGUUCGGAUUGGGGUCUGCAACUCGACCUCAUGAAGUCGGAGUCGCUAGUAAUCGCAGAUCAGCAACGCUGCGGUGAAUACGUUCCCGGGGCU